Molecule: long non-coding RNA, 1429 nt
Filed under: Cyanistes caeruleus (blue tit)
Lineage: Eukaryota; Metazoa; Chordata; Aves; Passeriformes; Paridae
Description: lncRNA (ENSCCEG00000007840.1)
Source: RNAcentral
UAACACUUGUUUACAUCUGCGUUAGGGCAGCCUUGAAUAAGCGUGAACCUCCCACAGAUGCUAAUUCAUAUCAGCUCUCCUUUGUGUUAAAUAUUUAUGUUCCUAAUAGGCACGCCUAAGAAAAAUACUGGCAAAUGAGGCCGCAACUCAACUCCAUUACAACUCAAUUUUACCUCAGUGCAAGUCGCAUCUCAAACGAGCAGGAUGAGAACAACAUUCUAUUUACAGAGCACAGCAGCCCGGCCAUUAGCGAUCUGUCGAUGGGAUGACAAUAAAACCCAUCGGUGGCAACUUCCAAAGACUUUCUGUGGCUGCCUGGACCCCCAAAAGCAGGCGAGAUUUGGGUAAAUCCCCACGGCAGCAAAACACAGAACAAGCCAGGCCCAAAGAAAACGCUGAGACACUCCUACCCGGAGAUCACACCCAUUCCCAGGCUCACGGAGGGACAAAGAGGGAGCCGGCACGGGAGAGUUCCAACCAACUCUGCGUUUGCAUCAAAUAUCCGCCGCUCUGAAUUCGCUGAAUAAUGAUUAAGUGCUGCUUUCAUUAAAAACCUGUUUUGUCCAGGUUUAGGAGGGUACAGGAGGGAUUUUUUUAUUUUUUUUUUCCGCCCUGUUCUCGGUCUCUGCGGGACAAAGCAAGGUGCGGUGCGGGGUUAACUCUUGGGGCCAAAGAGCUCCAGCCCCUGGCUCUGGCUGUCCCCAGAUUUGGCAAAGCUGUUCCGAGGGGAAAAGUUCUGGGGGAAGAUCCCUGCUUUUCUGCUCCCUGCAAGGCCGAGCUGGCUGUCCCUGUGCUCACAAGGACAGGGUGAGGAUUAGUGACUGGGAUGGGGAUGUAACAGAGCAUUGGAGUGUUUAACUGGGCUGCCCUUCCAGGAGCAGAGCAAUGAUAAACCAGACAGCCCCAGCAGAGUUUGCUGAGCCACCUUCAGCGGCAGAAAGCUGUGUGAGUGGACACCUGUAGCUUAUUGCUGAGGAAAAAAUGACCUGUGAAGGAGGGCUGUAAUAUUGCAGCCACUGAAGGCUGCCUGAUGUGGCUGGCUGGGGGUGAUCUGAGGAAAAACCAUCUCCUGGCAUUCCCAGCUUGCAUUCCUGCCUGCCAUGUGCGUGGUGCUGCUCACUGCUGAAGGAACAUCCCUGUCUGGAGAGGGCACUGCUUGGUACCUUGUCAUCACCCCCAGCUCUGCUUUUGGGGGACCCAGGGCAGUGUCCAGCUGUGUUCUGCACAUCUCUGAGGAUGGAGACUUUUGGGGGACCCAGGGCAGUGUCCAGCUGUGUUCUGCACAUCUCUGAGGAUGGAGACAACACACAACCUCUCAGAACUGGGAACUAUUCUCACCCUUCCCUUCGGAUACAUUUUUCUCUUGUCACUUCCUUAAUUUUCUAGAUUAGCCCCCACAAUCUGAAAAUAAAUAUGAAUCAGCUCACCA